RNAcentral lists this long non-coding RNA (609 nucleotides) under Vitis vinifera (wine grape). RNAcentral describes it as "long non-coding RNA (VVIN_LNC000037)". Lineage: Eukaryota; Viridiplantae; Streptophyta; Magnoliopsida; Vitales; Vitaceae. The record is from RNAcentral.
AAAUGACAAGCUCAACUUUAAUAUAAGAUUUUUAUUUCAUUAGAACAAGCCAGAAAAGAGAUACAUAGAUAUAGGUGCCAAGCCUGUGCUUUCUACUAUUUAAUAGAAGUAACUACCACGGAUCUAACAGCAUAAUGGACUUUCGUAAAUCACACUAGUGCUGCCAUUUUUAGUUCUUCACUGGUGCAGGCUUGCUAGCCGGUGCCUGUCACAAAAACAAUGAGGAAAAUAUCAAUUGAGCUUCAUAAUGUGAAGCAUUACAAUGUAAGAGCUAUAUAUAUAUAUAUAGAUAUAUAUACUAGUACCUUCUUGGGCUCCCGGGGUUUGUGCUCGGCCUUCUUGGGGCCAGGCUUGGAGGCCGGGGUGGGAGGGUUGGGGGGGUUGCCACUAGGCUUGGCAGGCUCCUUCUUGACCUGCCCAGCGGGUUGGGUAGUGAGAGGUUUCUGAGCCUUGAGUGAUGCCAUUCUUCACACUGUCCUCUUCACAAAGAGAAAAUUGAAAUUAAGCUACGUUCCUGGCCUCGAGUGUUUAGCUCCUAACAAAGACAUCCAUUUAUAGUUGAGUUUGGAAAACUCAACGUGGAAUUAGAAUCACUGAACAAGGAAAAAG